UACGGAGGGGGCUGGCGUUGUUCGGAAUUACUGGGCGUAAAGCGUACGUAGGCGGCUUUGUAAGUUAGAGGUGAAAGCCCGGGGCUCAACCCCGGAAUUGCCUUUAAGACUGCAUCGCUUGAACGUCGGAGAGGUGAGUGGAAUUCCGAGUGUAGAGGUGAAAUUCGUAGAUAUUCGGAAGAACACCAGUGGCGAAGGCGGCCAACUGGUCCGAUACUGACGCUGAGGCGCGAAAGCGUGGGGAGCAAACAGG
This 253-nucleotide ribosomal RNA is filed under the name uncultured bacterium. RNAcentral's name for it is "partial 16S ribosomal RNA". It matches the Rfam family "Bacterial small subunit ribosomal RNA", at positions 524 to 776 of the family's 1533-position model. The record is from RNAcentral.